Molecule: non-coding RNA, 423 nt
Organism: Diceros bicornis minor
Lineage: Eukaryota; Metazoa; Chordata; Mammalia; Perissodactyla; Rhinocerotidae
Source: the annotation of a RefSeq genome assembly
AUGAGACUGUUGGGUCUUCUCCUUUGCCUGGUGACGGCUCCCCAAGGUGUCCUGUCCCAGGUGCAGCUGCAGGAGUCGGGCCCAGGACUCGUGAAGCCCUCGCAGACCCUCUCCCUGACCUGUGCUGUCUCAGGUUACUCCAUCACCAGUGGUUAUGGUUGGAGCUGGAUCCGCCAGCCCCCAGGGAAAGGGCUGGAGUGGAUAGGGUGCAUAAGUUAUAGUGGAAGCACUUACUACAGCCCGUCCCUCAAGAGCCGCACCUCCAUCUCCAGAGACACCUCCAAGAACCAGUUCUCCCUGCAACUGAGCUCCAUGACCACCGAGGACACAGCCGUGUAUUACUGUGCAAGAGACACAGUGAGGGGAAGUGUCCUGUCCCAGGUGCAGCUGCAGGAGUCGGGCCCAGGACUGGUGACCCCCUAG